UGUGACAUUACAAUAUCUGAUUUUCACUGUCAGCAUGUGUGUGAGGAGGUGAAGGGUGUAUAAAGAAGGUACAGCUUGACAAUGUGCAUGCAGAAUGAAGAUGCUUAAGGAUCUGAUGCGGAUUAUCGGUAUUCUAUGCUGGUGGUGCUUAAGCAUCUCAAUAAUGUGUAAGUAAGCAGCAACGGCAUUAGAAAAGGCCACUAUCAGCUGAAGGAUAAGCACCAUUUGUCCAACUUCCAAGGUCCUUACGUGAGCUACAUAAUAAUGAUUCCUAGUCUAUCAUGUCAGCGUUACAGUGCUUUGCACUGAAUGAUCUGUGAAGAUGCUGCCAGACCUGCGAGGUUUUUCCAGUUUUCCAAUGUUCUGAGUAUGAGUUAGAUAUCCACCUUGAUCAAUGGUGAAAUUUGAAUUCAAUAAAACUCCAGAAUUAAAAAGCUGGCCUCACUGCUACCAUGUAACCACUGUUGAUCGUCACUGAUGUCCUUUAGAGAAGAAAAUCUGCCAUCCUUAUCCAGUCUGGCUUCCAUAUGACUUUAGACCCAUAGCAG
This is a long non-coding RNA of Chiloscyllium plagiosum (whitespotted bambooshark), 548 nucleotides long. RefSeq lists it as uncharacterized. Lineage: Eukaryota; Metazoa; Chordata; Chondrichthyes; Orectolobiformes; Hemiscylliidae. The record is from RefSeq and is a predicted model, not a curated record.